Molecule: RNA transcript, 1357 nt
Organism: Rhodamnia argentea
Lineage: Eukaryota; Viridiplantae; Streptophyta; Magnoliopsida; Myrtales; Myrtaceae
Gene name: protein STRICTOSIDINE SYNTHASE-LIKE 4-like
Exons: 7
Source: RefSeq, a predicted model, not a curated record
UGAGACAGACAGAUCCUUGUCAAGAACAUAUCUCCUAGAUUUCAUCGUCGUCUCUCUUUUACUCCAUAACAAUGGCUCUCCUUGGCUUCUUGGGCCGCUUCGUGCCGCCAUUCUCGGGCUUCGUCUUCGCUUGCGUCCUCGCCGUAGCGCUCCAAAUCUUCGUCUUCUCGCCGAUAUCUCCCGACUUUCUUCCUUUGCCAGGACCAUCGUCCCUUGCUUCGCUCCCCACAAACACCCACUUACAGGGUGUGGAAAAACUUGGAGAGGGCAUAUUGAAAGACCCAGAAGACGUGUGUGUAGACGAAAAUGGCGUGCUCUACACUGCGACGAGAGAUGGUUGGAUCAAGAGGUUGCACCGAGAUGGGUCCUGGGAAAACUGGACCAUGUUGAACAGUGAGGCACUCCUGGGGCUUACGGCGACCAGGAGAGGUGGUGUCGUUGUGUGUGAUGCUGAAAAGGGUCUGAUCUGGGCUGAUGAAGAUGGUCAUGCGAAGGUCCUCUUAUCACAUGUUAAUGGAUCUGAAUUAAGCUUCGCGGACGACGUCAUCGAAGCAUCGGAUGGGAGUCUCUAUUUCAGCGUAGGCAGCACCAAGUUCGGCUUCCACAAUUGGUACUUGGACGUCCUUGAGGCGAAACCUCAUGGCCAGCUUCUCAAGUUCGACCCUUCGUCGUCACAAACUUCGAUUGUUCUCGACAAUUUGUACUUUGCCAAUGGCGUCGCUCUCUCUAAGGACGAAGAGUUUCUCAUCGUUUGUGAAACUUGGAUAAAUAGGUGUUUGAAGCAUUGGCUAAAGGGAGAUGAAGCAGGGAAAACGGAGAUUUUCGUCGACAAUCUUCCCGCCGGACCCGACAACAUCAAUCUUGCCCCCGACGGAUCUUUCUGGAUUGCCCUAGUGCAGGUGAGAUCUGAAGCGUGGGAGUUUGUGCACCGAUCCAAGGCAGCCAAGCACUUGAUAGCAACAUACCCAAGUUUGAUCAAGAGAGUGAAUGGAGUGUCCGGAAAAGCAAGUGUUUUGCAUGUGGGAGCUGAUGGCAAAAUAAUCAAGAAGCUUGACGAUCCGGAUGGGAAAGUCAUCCGCUUUGUCACCUCAGCAGUUGAGUUUGAGGGUCAUCUUUACCUGGCGAGUCUCAACUCCAACUUCAUUGGAAAGUUGCCACUCACCUGAUGAUUUUUGCCUAAUGUAACGUUCACUUCAAUGGGAAUUUCAUGUAACACCGUUUCGCCGCAUGCAUUAUGGCAUCAUGUGCUUCACCAGUUCCGAAUUGUGAGACUUUGAUGCUUCCAAGAGGGAGAUUUCAUUACAAUUCCUAAAAAAUUGUUGGGUAGAUAGAAUUUAUCUGAUGGUUAACCAUUCAG